This 607-nucleotide long non-coding RNA is filed under the name Homo sapiens (human). Its description in RNAcentral is "non-protein coding lnc-NR5A1-5:1". Lineage: Eukaryota; Metazoa; Chordata; Mammalia; Primates; Hominidae. The record is from RNAcentral.
AUGGCGGCUGCCACGGACACUCAGGAAGACCACGAUACUUCCAUUGAGAAUGAAGACGAGUCCAACCAUGACCCUCAGUUUAAGCCAGUAGUUUCUCUUCCUGAGCAAGAAAUUUUAAAACGCUGGAGGAAGAUGAAGAGGAACUUUUUUUUUUUUGAGGAACUUUUUAAAAUGGGGGCGAAACUGUGAUUUGCCGCAGAGAACCGUCUCCUAGAAUGGAACGAGCGAGGCACUGGUGACGUCAAGCUCCUGAAGCACAAGGAGAAGGGGACCACCCGCCUCCUCAUGAGGAGGGACAAGACCCUGAAGAUUUGUGCCAACCACUACACGCCAAUGGUGGAGCUGAAACCCAACGUGGGUAAUGACCAUGCCUGAGUCUGGAACGACGAGUGCCCCAAGCCAGAGCUGCUGGCCAUCCGCUUCCUGAAUGCUGAGAAUGCACAGAAAUUCAAAACAAAGUUUGAAGAAUGCAGUAAAGAGAUUGGAGAGAGAGAAAAGAAAAGAUCCGGCAAAAAAGCGAUCAUGCCGAAAAAGUGGCGGAAAAGCUAGAAGCUCUUUCGGUGAAGGAGAAGGGAGAAGACCAAGGAGGAUGCUGAGGAGAAACAAU